This 504-nucleotide ribosomal RNA is filed under the name uncultured bacterium. Its description in RNAcentral is "partial 16S ribosomal RNA". It matches the Rfam family "Bacterial small subunit ribosomal RNA", at positions 29 to 523 of the family's 1533-position model. The record is from RNAcentral.
AUUGAACGCUGGCGGCAGGCCUAACACAUGCAAGUCGAGCGGUAGCACAGAGAGCUUGCUCUCGGGUGACGAGCGGCGGACGGGUGAGUAAUGUCUGGGAAACUGCCUGAUGGAGGGGGAUAACUACUGGAAACGGUAGCUAAUACCGCAUAACGUCGCAAGACCAAAGAGGGGGACCUUCGGGCCUCUUGCCAUCGGAUGUGCCCAGAUGGGAUUAGCCAGUAGGUGGGGUAAUGGCUCACCUAGGCGACGAUCCCUAGCUGGUCUGAGAGGAUGACCAGCCACACUGGAACUGAGACACGGUCCAGACUCCUACGGGAGGCAGCAGUGGGGAAUAUUGCACAAUGGGCGCAAGCCUGAUGCAGCCAUGCCGCGUGUACGAAGAAGGCCUUCGGGUUGUAAAGUACUUUCAGCGGGGAGGAAGGCAUUGCGGUUAAUAACCGCAGUGAUUGACGUUACCCGCAGAAGAAGCACCGGCUAACUCCGUGCCAGCCGCCGCGGUAA